AAUGGAAGGUGCCAUUGCGUCCGAGAACCAAAACAAAGCCAGCCCAAAGCCACGGAGCACACCCCAUUCAAUUAAGGACAUCGACAGUGCCGCCAAGGAUUAAAAAUUCCAUUUACGGAGCAAGCGAAGAGGCGUAAAAAAACAAUUUAUCGUCACGCACUUCGGAACUUUUAAUCAAAUACUGGGACUUCAAUCAGGAACAAUUGGGUUUUAAUUGGUUCGCUGUCAUAUAAGCAUUAAAUACACUGUAGAAUCAAUUAAACACGCAGAUUUUGAUCUUUUUAAAGCGACGAACAUUAAUAAAGUAUAUUGCUAU
Molecule: non-coding RNA, 316 nt
Organism: Drosophila melanogaster (fruit fly)
Lineage: Eukaryota; Metazoa; Arthropoda; Insecta; Diptera; Drosophilidae
Source: Ensembl